UACAGAGGGUGCGAGCGUUAAUCGGAAUUACUGGGCGUAAAGCGUGCGUAGGUGGUUCGUUAAGUCUGAUGUGAAAGCCCUGGGCUCAACCUGGGAAUGGCAUUGGAAACUGGCGAUCUAGAGUGCGGUAGAGGGUAGUGGAAUUCCCGGUGUAGCAGUGAAAUGCGUAGAGAUCGGGAGGAACAUCUGUGGCGAAGGCGACUGCCUGGACCAGCACUGACACUGAGGCACGAAAGCGUGGGGAGCAAACAGG
Molecule: ribosomal RNA, 253 nt
Filed under: uncultured bacterium
Lineage: Bacteria
Description: partial 16S ribosomal RNA
Rfam family: Bacterial small subunit ribosomal RNA
Source: RNAcentral